This is a long non-coding RNA of Antechinus flavipes (yellow-footed antechinus), 2611 nucleotides long. RefSeq lists it as uncharacterized. Lineage: Eukaryota; Metazoa; Chordata; Mammalia; Dasyuromorphia; Dasyuridae. The transcript has 3 exons. The record is from RefSeq and is a predicted model, not a curated record.
AUUCUAGGGAUAUGGGAUGUAAUGUGAGGAGAGGUGCAGAAUAGGAGAAUGGUUUGGGUAUCCACUUUAGAAGCCAUGGACAAAAAUCAAAUAAGUUAAAGCAGAAGAAAUAGAUUGGCAUGAGAGUUUGAAGGACCUUAGAUGUGUGAUAAAGGGAUUGGACUUAUUACUCUGGAAGAAAACACUGAAAAUCUUUCAUUCAAUAAACAUUUGUUAAGUAUAUAUUAGGUGCCCAGCACUGUAGUAAGCCCGCAGAUGCAAAUAUGAAAAAACAAAGAAGCUUACAAUCUAAUAGAAACUGAAAAGGGGGUACAAGAGGUCAUGAUGUUACAUGGAGUCAAAAUCAAGCCGAGCUGAUGACAAAAAAAUGGAGAGUUAUCUGAAAGUUCUGCAAGUUCUGAGAUCUCUAUAAAGGAAAACCUUGAGAGAAGUUCAUUACUCUACUCUCCAACCCUCCAUUCCUAAGGGAGAAGCAACUUGAAGAAGUUGAAAAGGUACUGAAGAAUUGAAAAGACGUUGAAGCAAGAUGAUUCAGAUAACAAGGAAAAAAUGUUAAAUGACAAUAAGAAAGAGAAAUGGGAAGAGAACGAGGAUGAGGAAAGAAGAGAAGAGGAGCAAAAAGAGAAAUUCAAAAAGAAAAAAAGAAAAGAAAGAAAGGGGAAGUGGUGGAAAGAAUUGGAAGACAAGGGAAAGAAAACAAUUCACAAAUUUGAAGGGUUGUACAUGUUUAACAUAUAUUGGCUUACUUCCAAUCUAAUGGAGGGCACGAGAGGAAGGAAGAGAAAAAUUUGGAACACAAGGUCUUUACGUAGGUGAGUGUUGAAAAUUAUCCCUGCAUAUGUUUUGAAAAUAAAAAGCUUUAACAUAUAUAUAUAUAUAGGGAGUUGUUUUGAUCAAAAUACCUUUUUGGACUUUCAAUCAUUUCUAUUAACUUAAAAAUAACUUCUUUGAAAUGAGGAUGCCAAAAAUUGCUGGGGAAAGGUCACAAUUUGUUAAAGGAACAAAAUUUUUAAAAAACUGAAGCAGAUUAAUCCUUAAAAAACAGAACUAGAUCAAAUGGUAAAAAGAUGUACAAAACUCUGAAAAGUAUAAGGUUGUCUUGAAAGGCAGAAUUAGCCAAAUGGAAAAAAGAUAUACAAAAAUUCACUGAAAAGAAGAACUCCUUUAAAAGUAGAAUUGACCACAAAGAAAAGACAAUACAAAAUGCUCUUGGAAGAAAAUCAUUACUUAAAAAUUACAAUGAUCUCCAAUUGAUAAAUGGUCAAAAAAGUGAACAAUUUUCAAUUGAAGAAAUUAACACCAUUUCUAGUUAUAUAAAAAAAUUCUCUAAAUUACUAGUCAUCAGAGAAAUGCAAAUUAAGACAACUCUGUUUUGCCACUACACACUUUUAAGUUUGGCUAAGAUGACAAGAAAAGAGAAUAAUGAAUAUUGGCGGGGAUAAUGUGGGAAAACUGAGACAUUAAUACAUAGUUAGUGGAGUUGUGAAUACCCUUUGAUCCAGCAAUGUCUCUACUAGGGCCAUAUCCCAAAAAGAUCAUAACAAAGGAAAAAGUACCCAUCUGUGGAUAAAUAUUUAUAGCAGUUCUAUUUGCAGGCACAAGGAACUGGAAAUCAAGUGUAUGCCUAUCAAUUGACAAGUGACUGACUAAAUUAUGGUAUAUGAAUGUUAUGGAAUAUUAUUCUAAAGGAAAUGAUAAGCAGAAAGGUUUCAGUAAUGCCAGGAGAAACUCACAUGGACUGAUGCUAAGGGAAGUAAGUUGAACCAAGAAUAUAUUGUAUACAACAACAAAAUUAUAUGACAAUUCUGAUGGAUGUGACUCUUUUGAAGAUGAUGUGGGAACUGAGUAAACAUCAAUAUAAUAUUUUCACUUUUUUCGUUGUUUGCUUGUUCUUUGUUUUCUUUCUCAUUGUUUUCCUUUUGAUCUGAUUUUUCUUGUUAGGCUUUAUAAUUGUGGACAUAUGUAUAGAAAGAUUGUACAUUUAACAUAUUUUGGUUUACUUGCUGUCUAGGGUAAGGGAUAGAGGGAAAGGAGAGAGAAAAAAUUGGAACACAAAGUUUUGCAAGAAAUAUGUAUUGUAUCUAGGAUAUACUGCAACAUAUUUAACAUAUAUAGGACUGCUUGCCAUCUUGGGGGGGGGGUGGAGGAAGGGAGGAGAAAAAAACAAAACAUAAGCGAGUGCAAGGGAUAAUGUUGUAACAAAUUACCCUGGCAUGGAUUCUCUCAAUACAAAGUCAUUAUUAAAUAAAAUAAAAUUUAAAAAUAAAAAAAAGUUUUGCAAGGAUGAAUGAUGAAAACUAUGUUUGCAUAUAUUUUGAAAAUAGCUAUUUAAAAAAGAAAAGAGUUUUGAAGGAAGUGUCUCUGAUGAAGACUUCAUUUUUCUUUUUCUUUUUCUUUUUUAAAUUUUUAAUAGCUUUUUAUUUGCAAGUUAUAUGCAUGGGUAAUUUUACAAUAUCGACAAUUGCCAAACCUUUUGUUCCAAUUUUUCCCCUCCUUCCCCCCACCCCUUCCCCAGAUGGCAGGAUGACCAAUACAUGUUAAAGAUAUUAAAGGAUAAAUUAAAUACAAAAUAAGUAUACAUGUCCAAGCCGUUAUUUUGCUGUACAAAAAG